RNAcentral lists this ribosomal RNA (366 nucleotides) under uncultured bacterium. RNAcentral describes it as "bacterial SSU rRNA". It matches the Rfam family "Bacterial small subunit ribosomal RNA", at positions 29 to 416 of the family's 1533-position model. The record is from RNAcentral.
AACGAACGCUGGCGGCAGGCUUAACACAUGCAAGUCGAACGGGCGUAGCAAUACGUCAGUGGCGGACGGGUGAGUAACACGUGGGAAUAUGCCUUUCGGUUCGGAACAACUCGGGGAAACCCGUGCUAAUUCCGGAUACGCCCUUACGGGGAAAGAUUUAUCGCCGAAAGAUUAGCCCGCGUUGGAUUAGCUAGUUGGUGAGGUUAAAGGCUCACCAAGGCGACGAUCCAUAGCUGGUUUGAGAGAACGACCAGCCACACUGGGACGUGAGACACGGCCCAGACUCCUACGGGAGGCGAGCAGUGGGGAAUCUUGGACAAUGGGAGGAAACUCUGAUCCAGCCAUGCCGCGUGAGUGAUGAAGGCC